RNAcentral lists this small RNA (24 nucleotides) under Arabidopsis thaliana (thale cress). Its description in RNAcentral is "ATSL191670". Lineage: Eukaryota; Viridiplantae; Streptophyta; Magnoliopsida; Brassicales; Brassicaceae. The record is from RNAcentral.
GUUUUGUAAUUCUUUCGCUUCUAU